AAAAUAUGACCAAGUUAAAGAGCUGGCCUAUGGAUUCAGAGUUCAGAAUGUCUACCAGAAAUCUUUGCUGUAGGACAGCUAUAGCUAUGCUCAGCAAGACCCAAGUAGCAGAAAGGCUGUCUUAAUUCUAUGAAAAAAAAGAAUACCAACAGUCAACAACCAAUGUGAUUAAUUUGGCCAAUGCAAGGAACACAUGAAAUCUUCAGUCCUAGUUUCCAACUUCUCCAAGAAUAACACCACUGGAAACUUGCAUCACUUUCCUUUGCUUUAGGCAAUGCUAGUGCACCAUACUGUAACGAUCUAUUAACAGAGUUUGACAAGGCCAACAGAAAUUAAUAAAGAGAAGAGUACAACCCAUCUCCUACUGGUCUGGAAGCGUAUUGACAUCCCAAGCUACUACUGUGAAAUGUCAUUGAGAAAUGUAUCGUGGUAGCAUGUUUUUCCCGAAAGGAAAAGUCAUCUACAACUCAGAUGCAAAGUGUUAUGUGUCUCCUUCCGUGCAAAAAAUUUCAAACCCUGUUCCACUCCACAAUAGCAGAAGAAUAUUGAGCUCCCAGAAGUGAUGCAGCAGCCAAAGGAAGCACAGAUGCAAGCCCUGAGCCUGUGAAUUACAGCGAGAACCAGCUGCAGUCACUAUUGUGAUGAACAGAUAAGGGAGGUGCAAUGUCUGCCUUACAAAUAAAGGCACUUUCUAAUGAUUACUUUAAGCAAAUGUUAAAUCAAGAAUUAAACCCCGGAGUGCCUGGUUGGCUCAAUGGG
Felis catus (domestic cat) is the source of this 759-nucleotide long non-coding RNA. RefSeq lists it as uncharacterized. Lineage: Eukaryota; Metazoa; Chordata; Mammalia; Carnivora; Felidae. The transcript is spliced from 3 exons. The record is from RefSeq and is a predicted model, not a curated record.